Molecule: ribosomal RNA, 468 nt
Filed under: uncultured bacterium
Lineage: Bacteria
Description: partial 16S ribosomal RNA
Rfam family: Bacterial small subunit ribosomal RNA
Source: RNAcentral
GACGAACGCUGGCGGCGUGCUUAACACAUGCAAGUCGAACGGAAAGGCCCUGCUUUUGUGGGCUGCACGAGUGGCGAACGGGUGAGUAACAAGUGAGUAGUCUGCCGUUGAUAACGGGACAUAUACAGGAGACUGGGACUAAUACCGGAUAGGUGCUCCCGCUGAAUGGUGGGGGAUGGCAAGUUUCGGCGGUUGGGGAUGGGCUCGCGGCUUAUCAGCUUGUUGGUGGGGUAGUGGCUUACCAAGGCAAUGACGGGUAGCCGGCCUGGGAGGGUGAGCGGCCACGUUGGGACUGGGAUACGACACAGACUCCUACGGUAGGCAGCAGUGGGGAAUAUUGUACAAUGGACGGGAGCCUGAUGCAGCAACGCCGCGUGGGGGAUGACAGCCAUCAGGUUGGAAUGCGCAUUCGCCUGUGACGGGGCGUGAGUGACGGUAAUGGGUAAAGAAGCACCGGCUAACUACGUG